GUGCAGCAGUCGCGAAUAGUCUACAAUGGACGAAAGUCUGAUAGUGCGACGCCGUGUGUGCGAUUAAUUCCUUCGGGAUGUAAAGCACUUUUCUAUGAGAUAAAAGCUCUUUAGGUUAAUAGCUUAUUGAGACGGGAUAUUAUUAUAGGAAUAAGCUCCGGCUAACUCCGUGCCAGCAGCCGCGGUAAUACGGAAGGAGCGAGCGUUGUCCGGAUUUACUAGGCGUAAAGGGCUAGUAGGCGACUAAUUAAGUUAUAUGUUAAAUCCCACGGCUCAACUGUGGUCCUGCAUGUAAUACUGGUUAGAUAGAGUACUGUAGAGGAAGGCAGAAUUCCUGGAGUAGCGGUGGAAUGCGCAGAUAUCAGGAAGAAUACCAAAAGCGAAGGCAGCCUUCUGGGCAGUUACUGACGCUGAAUAGCGAAGGUGUGGGUAGCGAACAGGAUUAGAUACCCCUGUA
This 457-nucleotide ribosomal RNA is filed under the name uncultured microorganism. RNAcentral describes it as "bacterial SSU rRNA". It matches the Rfam family "Bacterial small subunit ribosomal RNA", at positions 346 to 792 of the family's 1533-position model. The record is from RNAcentral.